This 278-nucleotide unclassified non-coding RNA is filed under the name Hevea brasiliensis (rubber tree). Lineage: Eukaryota; Viridiplantae; Streptophyta; Magnoliopsida; Malpighiales; Euphorbiaceae. The record is from RNAcentral.
GAAAUCAUAUGUUUCUUGCCAUUGUUGAGGAUCUGCAUGGUAACCAGAGGUCUUACACCACUCCUGAGAAUCAUCAGAAUGAAUAACAUCCGCUGCAGGAUAAGAGGGUUUGUGUUGAAAGUAAAGUCGGGCAGACUCUAGACUAGACCUUAAAAGAGCUCCAUCACUUGUGGAUAGCUGUAUAAUGGCAGCUGAAUACUGAGCCAAUGACUGUGACAAAGUUGAGACAGAUAAUUUAUACGAAUCAGAAGGAAGACCUUCCAAUGGUACCAAAUCAC